Molecule: ribosomal RNA, 259 nt
Filed under: uncultured bacterium
Lineage: Bacteria
Description: partial 16S ribosomal RNA
Rfam family: Bacterial small subunit ribosomal RNA
Source: RNAcentral
CACGAGAAGCGCAGAUGUUAGCCGUUUUGAUUGGGUGUAAGGGGUAUGUAGGUGGCUGAUGAUAUUUUAGAUCGAAAACGCAGGGUUGUUCCUUUGCGCGGGGUCCUUUAAGGAUUCAGCUUGUGUUGAAGACGGGUUGGGGCAAUUUGGCAUGUAGCUCGGAGUAGAAUCCUAACAUAUGCGAAGGAACGCCGAGUGGCGAAGGCACCUUUCUAGUUUCAUCAGACGCUAAGGUACGGAAGCUUAGGUAUCAAACAGG